This 93-nucleotide ribosomal RNA is filed under the name Rhodanobacter sp. Soil772. Lineage: Bacteria; Pseudomonadati; Pseudomonadota; Gammaproteobacteria; Lysobacterales; Rhodanobacteraceae. The record is from RNAcentral.
GUACCACCUGAUCCCAUCCCGAACUCAGAAGUGAAACGCGCAUGCGCCGAUGGUAGUGUGGCUUUGCCAUGCAAGAGUAGGUCACCGCCAGGG